GACGAACGCUGGCGGCGUGCUUAACACAUGCAAGUCGAGCGGUAAGGCCCUUUCGGGGGUACACGAGCGGCGAACGGGUGAGUAACACGUGGGUGACCUGCCCUCAGCUCUGGGAUAAGCCUGGGAAACCGGGUCUAAUACUGGAUAUGACUCCAUGACGCAUGUUGUGGGGUGGAAAGCCUUGUGCGGCUGAGGAUGGGCCCGCGGCCUAUCAGCUUGUUGGUGGGGUGANGGCCCACCAAGGCGACGACGGGUAGCCGGCCUGAGAGGGCGACCGGCCACACUGGGACUGAGACACGGCCCAGACUCCUACGGGAGGCAGCAGUGGGGAAUCUUGCGCAAUGGGCGAAAGCCUGACGCAGCGACGCCGCGUGAGGGAUGACGGCCU
RNAcentral lists this ribosomal RNA (388 nucleotides) under uncultured bacterium. RNAcentral describes it as "bacterial SSU rRNA". It matches the Rfam family "Bacterial small subunit ribosomal RNA", at positions 28 to 417 of the family's 1533-position model. The record is from RNAcentral.